This 90-nucleotide transfer RNA is filed under the name Planctomycetota bacterium. RNAcentral's name for it is "Planctomycetes bacterium (freshwater metagenome) tRNA-Ser". It matches the Rfam family "tRNA". From Rfam's summary of the family: Transfer RNA (tRNA) molecules are approximately 80 nucleotides in length. Their secondary structure includes four short double-helical elements and three loops (D, anti-codon, and T loops). Lineage: Bacteria; Pseudomonadati; Planctomycetota. The record is from RNAcentral.
GGAGAGGUGCCAGAGCGGUUGAAUGGGCCGGUUUCGAAAACCGGUGUGGGCUACGGUCCACCGGGAGUUCGAAUCUCCCCCUCUCCGCCA